CGUACACUCCUGCGGGAGGCAGCAGUGGGGAAUAUUGGACAAUGGGCGCAAGCCUGAUCCAGCCAUGCCGCGUGAGUGAUGAAGGCCCUAGGGUUGUAAAGCUCUUUCACCGGAGAAGAUAAUGACGGUAUCCGGAGAAGAAGCCCCGGCUAACUUCGUGCCAGCAGCCGCGGUAAUACGAAGGGGGCUAGCGUUGUUCGGAAUUACUGGGCGUAAAGCGCACGUAGGCGGAUCGAUCAGUCAGGGGUGAAAUCCCAGGGCUCAACCCUGGAACUGCCUUUGAUACUGUCGAUCUGGAGUAUGGAAGAGGUGAGUGGAAUUCCGAGUGUAGAGGUGAAAUUCGUAGAUAUUCGGAGGAACACCAGUGGCGAAGGCGGCUCACUGGUCCAUUACUGACGCUGAGGUGCGAAAGCGUGGGGAGCAAACAGGAUUAGAUACCCGUGUAGUCCCAUGA
RNAcentral lists this ribosomal RNA (454 nucleotides) under uncultured organism. Its description in RNAcentral is "partial 16S ribosomal RNA". It matches the Rfam family "Bacterial small subunit ribosomal RNA", at positions 330 to 800 of the family's 1533-position model. The record is from RNAcentral.